This 487-nucleotide ribosomal RNA is filed under the name uncultured bacterium. RNAcentral describes it as "bacterial SSU rRNA". It matches the Rfam family "Bacterial small subunit ribosomal RNA", at positions 9 to 523 of the family's 1533-position model. The record is from RNAcentral.
GAGUUUGAUCCUGGCUCAGGAUGAACGCUAGCGGUUUGCCUAACACAUGCAAGUUGCACGGCGCCAUGCCUCUCGAGGAAUGGCGGAGUGGCGGACGGGUGAGGAACGCGUAAGGACCUGCCCCUGGGAGGGGGAUAACAGCUGGAAACGGCUGCUAAUACCCCAUAUCCUGAGGAGGGAAAGGAGAGAUCCGCCCAGGGAGGGGCUUGCGUCUGAUUAGCUAGUUGGGGGGGUAAUGGCCUCCCAAGGCAACGAUCAGUUGCUGGUCUGAGAGGAUGAUCAGCCACACUGGGACUGAGACACGGCCCAGACUCCUACGGGAGGCAGCAGUGAGGAAUCUUCCGCAAUGGGCGAAAGCCUGACGGGGCAAUGCCGCGUGGAGGAUGAAGGCCCAAUGGGUCGUAAACUUCUUUAGAUCAGAGACGAAGAGAUGACGGUACCUGAAGAACUAAGCAUCGGCUAAACCCCGUGCCAGCAGCCGCGGUAC